This 987-nucleotide long non-coding RNA is filed under the name Octopus vulgaris (common octopus). Lineage: Eukaryota; Metazoa; Mollusca; Cephalopoda; Octopoda; Octopodidae. The record is from RNAcentral.
CCCCCUCUUCGCCCGGCCGCCGGCUUCGACGACGGACGCGCUGCUAGGAAGAGCACGCCGCGUUCCCGCCGACGGACGGGCACUCUCCGAGUUCGGGUUCGGGAAUAUUAACCCGAUUCCCUUUCGAUGCGAGGCCGGCCGCGUAACUGAUUCGAACUACGGGAGUUCUUCUUCUAACGACGGAUCCGGCGCCUUUCGUGGAAGCUUUCGCCCGCUUCUUAGGACCGACUGACCCGUGCUCGACCGCCGUUGGCACGGAACCCUUCUCCACUUCGGUCUUCGAAGGUCUCGUUCGAAUAUUUGCUACUACCACCGAGAUCUGCACCCGCGGUCGGCUUCACCCGGGCUCGCGCCCGCGGCUUCCAUGCACGCCGCGGCGCCCUCCUACUCGACCGGGCAUCGGAAAGUCGCCUCGCCGGCGAUCGCGCAACCUGUCGCCCGGCCGGUCCGGCAUCGGUCGCUCGCUCCAGCGCCAUCCAUUUUCGGGGCCGGUCGAUUCGGCAGGUAAGUUGUUACACACUCCUGAGCGGAUUCCGACUUCCGUGGCCACCGUCCUGCUGUCUAUAUCGACCGACACCCUUUCGGGGAUCUAAUGGGCGAAGCGUAGGGCACCUUAGCCGGACGUUCGGUUCAUCCCACAUCACCAGUUCUGCUUACCAAAAGUGGCCCACUUGGCACCGUGCAUUCGUCGUCGCAUAACGGCGGCCGCCUCCGAUCGAGAGAGGAGCGGCCCGUUUCGCCCGUUCCGAGUUCGAGAGUAGAUCGAGGCCGUCAACGUCCCCGGGGCCUCCAGUCGUUCGCUUUACCGGACGGAAUUGCGUGUCGUUCUCCCGCUGGCGCCAGCUAUCCUGAGGGAAACUUCGGAGGGAACCAGCUACUAGACGGCUCGAUUGGUCUUUCGCCCCUACACCCGGUUCCGACGAUCGAUUUGCACGUCAGAGGCGCUUCGGACUUCCACCAGAGUUUCCUCUGGCUUCGUUGAUGUUC